UUAUGGCCGUAAAGCAAGGUUGGACUCGCGAACCGUGUCAGGACCGGAAGGUAGCAGCACUAAGGAUGCUCCGGCUUGUGCUUUAUGUACAUAUUUU
This 97-nucleotide signal recognition particle RNA is filed under the name Limosilactobacillus ingluviei. RNAcentral's name for it is "Lactobacillus ingluviei Bacterial small signal recognition particle RNA". It matches the Rfam family "Bacterial small signal recognition particle RNA". Rfam says of the family: The signal recognition particle (SRP) is a universally conserved ribonucleoprotein involved in the co-translational targeting of proteins to membranes. Archaeal SRP consists of a 7S RNA and homologues of the eukaryotic SRP19 and SRP54 proteins. The record is from Rfam by way of RNAcentral. Lineage: Bacteria; Bacillati; Bacillota; Bacilli; Lactobacillales; Lactobacillaceae.